UGAGAUAUAGGGGAUCAACGGCAAAUUCAGGAUCAGCAGAACAAUGUUGCCAAAAUACAUUGAGAUGAUCACUGACCAGAACACGUCUGGGUUAUCAACGAACAGGCGUGGGCC
Molecule: non-coding RNA, 114 nt
Filed under: uncultured Enterovibrio sp.
Lineage: Bacteria; Pseudomonadati; Pseudomonadota; Gammaproteobacteria; Vibrionales; Vibrionaceae
Source: RNAcentral